UUUUGGCCCAGCCUGCUCCUGUUUGGUCGGUUCCGGUGCCCGUACGGCGGAGAUCCGCCCCCUCAAACAGGGGUGUGUCGUGACGUCAGAGGUAACGAAGAGAAGAUAGCCAAGAGGGGGAGGAAGCUGUUCCUGGACUCCUACAGUUCUUAGACUUCAUAAAGUACAAAAAUAACAGGACUUAUUGAAAACAGACAGAAAAAAAUCUGAAACCUCAUACCGUGGUCGUUCUGUUUUCGUCCAGAGGCUCACCGGGAGCUGCAAUACGGAGAUCCGACUACACC
Molecule: long non-coding RNA, 284 nt
Organism: Larimichthys crocea (large yellow croaker)
Lineage: Eukaryota; Metazoa; Chordata; Actinopteri; Sciaenidae
Exons: 3
Source: RefSeq, a predicted model, not a curated record